RNAcentral lists this ribosomal RNA (296 nucleotides) under uncultured bacterium. Its description in RNAcentral is "partial 16S ribosomal RNA". It matches the Rfam family "Bacterial small subunit ribosomal RNA", at positions 775 to 1067 of the family's 1533-position model. The record is from RNAcentral.
GGAUUAGAUACCCUGGUAGUCCACACCGUAAACGCUGUCUACUAGCUGUGUGUGCCUUUAAGGCGUGCGUAGCGAAGCUAACGCGCUAAGUAAACCGCCUGGGGAGUACGGCCGCAAGGCUAAAACUCAAAGGAAUUGACGGGGGCCCGCACAAGCGGUGGAGCAUGUGGUUUAAUUCGACGCAACGCGAAGAACCUUACCUGGGUUGGAAACCCCUCGAACCCCCUAGAGAUAGGGGGGUGCCCUUCGGGGAGCGAGGUGUCCAGGUGCUGCAUGGCUGUCGUCAGCUCGUGUCG